Molecule: long non-coding RNA, 306 nt
Filed under: Eucalyptus grandis
Lineage: Eukaryota; Viridiplantae; Streptophyta; Magnoliopsida; Myrtales; Myrtaceae
Description: long non-coding RNA (EGRA_LNC002659)
Source: RNAcentral
UAGUGUUCUUAAUUCUCAUAGGGUACGAGUUUCAAACACAGCGAUAAUGAAGCCCCUAGAGGAUAGAUAGAGUCACAGACAUCAAGCAGAGGCACCAGCUUCUUCCAACAGCUGCUUCACCUUUGUGAUUUAAUCGUUCAUUGCUUCGUCCGUUGAUUUCCCUGCCAACAAGGAAAAAUAUCAAUCUUAGAAAUAGCAAAGUCCAACACAAAUCAUUAAAAAAAGAAGAAGGAAACAGGCAUUAUUUAUCUCGGAGAUGGACCUGGUUGAGAAACAAAGCGUUGAAGCGUGACAAGUUGCAAAUCC